ACGUAGGAGACGAACGUUAUCCGGAGUUACUGGGCGUAAAGGGCGUGUAGGCGGUAUGUUAAGUCUGGCGUGAAAGCUCUCGGCUAAACCGGGAGAGGUCGUUGGAUACUGACACACUAGAGGAUGGUAGAGGCGUGUGGAAUUCCGGGUGUAGUGGUGAAAUGCGUAGAGAUCCGGAGGAACACCAGUGGCGAAGGCGACACGCUGGGCCAUACCUGACGCUAAAGCGCGACAGCAUGGGGAGCAAACGGG
This 252-nucleotide ribosomal RNA is filed under the name uncultured bacterium. Its description in RNAcentral is "partial 16S ribosomal RNA". It matches the Rfam family "Bacterial small subunit ribosomal RNA", at positions 525 to 776 of the family's 1533-position model. The record is from RNAcentral.